AUGGUUGGGACAAGUCAUAAAUCAAAACAGGAUGGACCUGCUGGAUCAAGUCAUGACGACCUUGCAUCUCAUGGGAAUGAAGAGCAUCAAACACAGCCACGGAGCAGUGCACCAAUAACUGGGUACAAGCAUAUGAGAACUAAAGCAGUUAUUACACGGCGGAAGCGCCCAGAUGAUAUCAUUAGUAACGAGAAUAGUAAUGAGAGCCAAGCUGCAGAUGCUGGGAAUAAAAAUGUCGAAGGUGCAGACGUCGACCAACCUCCAAAAGCAAAACGCCAGAAGACGGGAGGAACUGAGGGUCGUAGGAACAGGGCAUCCCCUGCAAGGCUCUUCAAGUUGAACAAGGACUUGGUCCUGACCAAAAGGGUGUCAUCAUCGGAAAAGAAUUUGGUGGCAUUCUGGACCUUGCAGCGAGUAGCAUGCCCGGAGAUUUUAGCCAGUGGAUAA
Molecule: ribosomal RNA, 447 nt
Filed under: Triticum aestivum (bread wheat)
Lineage: Eukaryota; Viridiplantae; Streptophyta; Magnoliopsida; Poales; Poaceae
Description: partial small subunit ribosomal RNA
Source: RNAcentral